UCAGAUAGCAUUAGUUGUAGCUCUCAUAUGUUACUUUAGCAGGAAUAAGUAAAUUGAUCUUGAUUUCAAGAGUGGGACAAAGACUUCACAAGACCACAAAGAACUGCUUGGAAUCUGACUGGCUGGAUGUGGGGCAAGUGGGACGUGAUGCUGCUCAGGUUUUCCUUUCGUGGAAGAAGAACCAUGGUACUUGAUUCAUCUGUGAAACAGUUUGUGCUCUAGUGAGGAGCAUCACGUGUGUGACACUCUCCCUUCAGCGAGCAGUGGAGCUGAGCCUGUCGAGUAUUUUGGUGAGAGGAAUCAUAAUCCUUCUCCUAGCAGCACUUCAUGAACUGAAAUCGUUCUCUAGAUGGUGAUGACAUGCCAGUUCUCGGUAUAUGGACAUGAGUCCUGAGAUCCCACACAUGGAUGUACAAAAGGACUGCACAUUGUGCUGAAGACUGGGGAGAAGAUUCCCUUGUGUGAAAGUGGAACCUUUUUUUUCUAAUGGCUGCUUCGAGUGUUUCCUCCAUAGAUCUUUUUCCUUGUCUUGAAACCAUUUCCUUGAUAUGCUGGGCUGUAAAUCCUUGAAGGAAUAGCAUGGUUGGUUGCCUUUGUCCUUUUUCCAUGAGCCAAGACUGAAGAAUUACUGAAAUGUUGCAACUAUCAAUCGGUUUGUCUUCUGCAGUGUGCUCAUGCUGUUCAGCACUUGUGAUGCUGAUGUUGAACAUGGGCUGUGUGGCAGAUGAAGCUGUCCUCUACCAGAAAAAGAUGGGAAUAUAUGGAGAUGUCAGAUGGAAUGCUGGUCUCUCUCUCACCCUUGACUCUGUAAUUUCAUCAUUCAGCAAUGGAGGACCUGUGCAGGCACAGCUGACCAAGAUCAUGGGUAAGCACAAGCUGCAGCUCUGCAGGACACAGGGUUCUCUGGCCCACAGGAGGAACAGC
Molecule: long non-coding RNA, 924 nt
Organism: Passer montanus (Eurasian tree sparrow)
Lineage: Eukaryota; Metazoa; Chordata; Aves; Passeriformes; Passeridae
Exons: 3
Source: RefSeq, a predicted model, not a curated record